UAGGGAAUCUUGCUCAAUGGGCGCAAGCCUGAAGCAGCGACGCCGCGUGAGGGAUGAAUGCCUUCGGGUUGUAAACCUCUUUCAGCGGGGACGAAGCCGCAAGGUGACGGUACCCGCAGAAGAAGGUCCGGCCAACUACGUGCCAGCAGCCGCGGUAAUACGUAGGGACCGAGCGUUAUCCGGAUUUAUUGGGCGUAAAGCGCGCGUAGGCGGCUACACACGUCGGUUGUGAAAGCUCGGAGCUCAACUCUGAGAGGCCUUCCGAUACGGUGUGGCUAGAGGUAGGUAGGGGAGAGCGGAAUUCCUGGUGUAGCGGUGAAAUGCGCAGAUAUCAGGAGGAACACCGGUGGCGAAGGCGGCUCUCUGGGCCUGUCCUGACGCUGAGGCGCGAAAGCUGGGGGAGCGAACAG
Molecule: ribosomal RNA, 410 nt
Filed under: uncultured bacterium
Lineage: Bacteria
Description: bacterial SSU rRNA
Rfam family: Bacterial small subunit ribosomal RNA
Source: RNAcentral